This is a long non-coding RNA of Daucus carota subsp. sativus, 1009 nucleotides long. RefSeq lists it as uncharacterized. The record is from RefSeq and is a predicted model, not a curated record. Lineage: Eukaryota; Viridiplantae; Streptophyta; Magnoliopsida; Apiales; Apiaceae. The transcript has 5 exons.
GUACAAUAUUUACUUUUAUCCCGAAAACACAAUUCACUCCCUCCUACUUACUCUCUCUCUCUCUCCUCUCUACUCUGUCGAUCUGACCUGCCUCUCCGCUCUCCGCUCUCACCUCUCCCGUCUCUACUCUAACAUCUCCACUAUGCGUUUUCACAUCUCAGAUAACUGAAUAAUCAGAAUAGGGUUCAUGGGUUUUCUACUAAUUGUUACUAUGUUGGACUAUUGCCAUCUAAUUUUAUUAUUUCUACUGAUUGGGUUUAAUGUCUUUGUUUUGCAGGUGAUUAGGGUUUUUCAAUUGGGGCUUUCAAUCAAGGAUUCUGGCAAAUCACACCCUCUAAUGAGUUCUGAACAUAUGGACCUCUCAAGCAGGACUUAACCUCUCAUGCCGGCCCCGUGAAUCUUGUUUGCAGAAAUGGAUAUUAUGAUUACAUGUAGAAAUAGCAGAAUCCUUACUUUUUGCUCAGGUGGGCACCUGAGGAUUUACUUGUACUUGCCUAGAUUCUGAAUUAGCGGGAUGAAAAAAAUUAUUGCAUCUGCUUGCUUUGGAAAGAGUCUAGUUUAUCAAGUACAGUUGUGUUGGCGAGUACUCGAGAGAGCAAUGAUUUGUACAAGGAAAAGAUGUAGAAUGGUGUUAUAAAGCUCCGUGAUCAGCAGGCUGAAGGGUAAUUGUGCUCCUGUGUAUGGUCAAAUGAAUGAACCACCUGAUCUGAUGCUCUGGUUGGAUUUACUAAGCUAACAGUAGCUGAGCACUUCCGAGAUGCUGAGGGGCAAGAUGUCCUUUUAUUAGUUGACAACGAUAAGCUGCUCAAUCUGGACAUCAAAUACAAGCUCAAUCUGGGCAGCAUCUUUUUGAAUAUCCACAUUUUGAAUAUGUAUUAAAUAAUGAAAUUUUAGAAUCAUUAUAAAUUUGUUGUUUCUAUUUAUUUAUUUUUCACAGAAAUAUCUUAAGAUGUAUAGGUCUUGGGAAAAAAUAUAUUUGUGUUGUUUAUACUAGAAAUAAUUUAAAUUC